This 1550-nucleotide ribosomal RNA is filed under the name Klebsiella pneumoniae. RNAcentral describes it as "bacterial SSU rRNA". It matches the Rfam family "Bacterial small subunit ribosomal RNA". The record is from RNAcentral. Lineage: Bacteria; Pseudomonadati; Pseudomonadota; Gammaproteobacteria; Enterobacterales; Enterobacteriaceae.
AAAUUGAAGAGUUUGAUCAUGGCUCAGAUUGAACGCUGGCGGCAGGCCUAACACAUGCAAGUCGAGCGGUAGCACAGAGAGCUUGCUCUCGGGUGACGAGCGGCGGACGGGUGAGUAAUGUCUGGGAAACUGCCUGAUGGAGGGGGAUAACUACUGGAAACGGUAGCUAAUACCGCAUAAUGUCGCAAGACCAAAGUGGGGGACCUUCGGGCCUCAUGCCAUCAGAUGUGCCCAGAUGGGAUUAGCUAGUAGGUGGGGUAAUGGCUCACCUAGGCGACGAUCCCUAGCUGGUCUGAGAGGAUGACCAGCCACACUGGAACUGAGACACGGUCCAGACUCCUACGGGAGGCAGCAGUGGGGAAUAUUGCACAAUGGGCGCAAGCCUGAUGCAGCCAUGCCGCGUGUGUGAAGAAGGCCUUCGGGUUGUAAAGCACUUUCAGCGGGGAGGAAGGCGGUGAGGUUAAUAACCUCACCGAUUGACGUUACCCGCAGAAGAAGCACCGGCUAACUCCGUGCCAGCAGCCGCGGUAAUACGGAGGGUGCAAGCGUUAAUCGGAAUUACUGGGCGUAAAGCGCACGCAGGCGGUCUGUCAAGUCGGAUGUGAAAUCCCCGGGCUCAACCUGGGAACUGCAUUCGAAACUGGCAGGCUAGAGUCUUGUAGAGGGGGGUAGAAUUCCAGGUGUAGCGGUGAAAUGCGUAGAGAUCUGGAGGAAUACCGGUGGCGAAGGCGGCCCCCUGGACAAAGACUGACGCUCAGGUGCGAAAGCGUGGGGAGCAAACAGGAUUAGAUACCCUGGUAGUCCACGCCGUAAACGAUGUCGAUUUGGAGGUUGUGCCCUUGAGGCGUGGCUUCCGGAGCUAACGCGUUAAAUCGACCGCCUGGGGAGUACGGCCGCAAGGUUAAAACUCAAAUGAAUUGACGGGGGCCCGCACAAGCGGUGGAGCAUGUGGUUUAAUUCGAUGCAACGCGAAGAACCUUACCUGGUCUUGACAUCCACAGAACUUAGCAGAGAUGCUUUGGUGCCUUCGGGAACUGUGAGACAGGUGCUGCAUGGCUGUCGUCAGCUCGUGUUGUGAAAUGUUGGGUUAAGUCCCGCAACGAGCGCAACCCUUAUCCUUUGUUGCCAGCGGUUAGGCCGGGAACUCAAAGGAGACUGCCAGUGAUAAACUGGAGGAAGGUGGGGAUGACGUCAAGUCAUCAUGGCCCUUACGACCAGGGCUACACACGUGCUACAAUGGCAUAUACAAAGAGAAGCGACCUCGCGAGAGCAAGCGGACCUCAUAAAGUAUGUCGUAGUCCGGAUUGGAGUCUGCAACUCGACUCCAUGAAGUCGGAAUCGCUAGUAAUCGUAGAUCAGAAUGCUACGGUGAAUACGUUCCCGGGCCUUGUACACACCGCCCGUCACACCAUGGGAGUGGGUUGCAAAAGAAGUAGGUAGCUUAACCUUCGGGAGGGCGCUUACCACUUUGUGAUUCAUGACUGGGGUGAAGUCGUAACAAGGUAACCGUAGGGGAACCUGCGGUUGGAUCACCUCCUUACCUUAAAGAA